ACUCUCGGCAACGGAUAUCUUGGCUCUCGCAUCGAUGAAGAACGUACCAAAAUGCGAUAGCUGGUGUGAAUUGCAGAAUCCCGUGAACCAUCGAGUCUUUGAACGCAAGUUGCGCCUGAAGCCGCCAGGCCAAGGGCACGCCUGCCUGGGUGUCA
Molecule: ribosomal RNA, 155 nt
Filed under: Parnassia trinervis
Lineage: Eukaryota; Viridiplantae; Streptophyta; Magnoliopsida; Celastrales; Celastraceae
Description: 5.8S ribosomal RNA
Rfam family: 5.8S ribosomal RNA
About the family: 5.8S ribosomal RNA (5.8S rRNA) is a component of the large subunit of the eukaryotic ribosome.
Source: RNAcentral